ACCUUCAAAUUCCUUGUCAAAAUUCCGCUUCCAUAUGCAAAUGGCUUCAGCUAAGGCACCAUUCUGAUUACGAAGAAAUGACAUCAUUGACAUUAACCAUUUUCUCUGCUUAACCUCACUAAUGCCAAGGCUCUUAGUACAAUCUACAUCCACAGGUCGCAAAGGGUAAGAUCCCGGAAGACGAAUUACUAGGUCCAUUCCUGUUUCGUCUUUUGUGUAGGUAGCCACCACUUCACUUGCAGAUUUGCUCACGGUGACAGAGAAAUUAUCAUCAGCAAAAUUGGCUUUUUUAAUCUGAGACAGUUCAUUCAUAAUCAGAGGGGGGCUACAAUAUGCUCUAGUGAAAAAUUCAAUGGCAGAUGAAGUAGAACGGUCACGUAUAUCGCUAAACCACCCUCGAACAUAAGCGGGAAGAACACAAAGCAUGAGGCCAAAAAUUGCACCAGCAAGUGAAGCAACUUUUUCUGGUCCGACAGGCCAAAGUGAUUCCAAGCAAAAUAAUACAGAAGUAGAAGUGAUGGCACGGGUUGCACAUUUUGCUGCUUCUGACACUGAAGCUGGA
This 562-nucleotide unclassified non-coding RNA is filed under the name Hevea brasiliensis (rubber tree). The record is from RNAcentral. Lineage: Eukaryota; Viridiplantae; Streptophyta; Magnoliopsida; Malpighiales; Euphorbiaceae.